This 225-nucleotide long non-coding RNA is filed under the name Elaeis guineensis (African oil palm). RNAcentral's name for it is "long non-coding RNA (EGUI_LNC005784)". Lineage: Eukaryota; Viridiplantae; Streptophyta; Magnoliopsida; Arecales; Arecaceae. The record is from RNAcentral.
CUGAUUUCUUCGAUUGGAGCCGUGGGUACUUGUUUCGUUCUCGCCGUGAUUGCUCGCCGGUGGGGUCAUCGGAGGUCGAAGUAAGUUUUUCUUCUCUUCCUCUCUUCUUUCCCCUUCUUCCCGUGCCUCUGUGCGCGACUGCUGGCGACGAGUGUCGCCGAUUUUUGAUCGGAGAAGAGACCCCUAUUUUGGUCUCUUCUUCCCUUUGGUUUUCCGGCGCCGGCG